Molecule: ribosomal RNA, 253 nt
Filed under: uncultured bacterium
Lineage: Bacteria
Description: partial 16S ribosomal RNA
Rfam family: Bacterial small subunit ribosomal RNA
Source: RNAcentral
UACGAAGGGGGCUAGCGUUGUUCGGAAUUACUGGGCGUAAAGCGCACGUAGGCGGUAUUGAAAGUUGGAUGUGAAAUCCCUCGGCUUAACCAAGGAAGUGCAUCCAAAACUCCAGUACUUGAGUACUUAAGAGGAUCGCGGAAUUCCCGGUGUAGAGGUGAAAUUCGUAGAUAUCGGGAGGAACACCAGUGGCGAAGGCGGCGAUCUGGGAAGAUACUGACGCUGAGGUGCGAAAGCGUGGGGAGCAAACAGG